RNAcentral lists this ribosomal RNA (387 nucleotides) under uncultured bacterium. Its description in RNAcentral is "partial 16S ribosomal RNA". It matches the Rfam family "Bacterial small subunit ribosomal RNA", at positions 355 to 729 of the family's 1533-position model. The record is from RNAcentral.
UGGGGAAUUUUGGACAAUGGGGGCAACCCUGAUCCAGCAAUGCCGCGUGUGUGAAGAAGGCCUUCGGGUUGUAAAGCACUUUUUGUCCGGAAAGAAAUCGCCCUGGCUAAUAUCCGGGGGUGGAUGCGGUACUGGAAGAAUAAGCACCGGCUAACUACGUGCCACAGCCGCGGUAAUACGUAGGGUGCGAGCGUUAAUCGGAAUUACUGGGCGUAAAGCGUGCGCAGGCGGUUGUGCAAGACAGAUGUGAAAUCCCCCGGGGCUUAAACCUGGGGAAUGGCAUUUUGUGACUGCACGGCUAGAGUGUGUCAGAGGGGGGUAGAAUUCCACGUGUAGCAGUGAAAUGCGUAGAUAUGUGGAGGAACACCGAUGGCGAAGGCAGCCCCC